CCAAUAGCGUAUAUUAAAGUUGUUGCAGUUAAAAAGCUCGUAGUUGAAUUUCGGGGUUCUAUCGUUGGUCGGGCUAUUGUCUGUACUGGCGUGUAGAAUUUCUACCUUCUGGGGAACUAUCAUGUUAUUUAUUUAGCGUGGUAGGAAACCAGGACCUUUACCUUGAAAAAAUUAGAGUGUUCAAAGCAGGCUUAUGUCUGAAUACAUUAGCAUGGAAUAAUAAAAUAGGACGGUGGUCCUGUUUUGUUGGUUUCUGAAUCACCGUAAUGAUUAAUAGGGAUAGUUGGGGGCAUUAGUAUUCAAUUGUCAGAGGUGAAAUUCUUGGAUUUAUUGAAGACUAACUACUGCGAAAGCAUUUGCCAAGGAUGUUUUCAUUAAUCAAGAACGAAAGUUAGGGGAUCGAAGACGAUCAGAUACCGUCGUAGUCUUAACCAUAAACUAUGCCGACUAGGGAGCGGACGAUGUUAACUUUUCUUGACUCGUUCGGCGCCUUACG
Molecule: ribosomal RNA, 496 nt
Filed under: uncultured Glomeromycotina
Lineage: Eukaryota; Fungi; Glomeromycota
Description: partial small subunit ribosomal RNA
Rfam family: Eukaryotic small subunit ribosomal RNA
Source: RNAcentral